RNAcentral lists this ribosomal RNA (253 nucleotides) under uncultured bacterium. RNAcentral describes it as "partial 16S ribosomal RNA". It matches the Rfam family "Bacterial small subunit ribosomal RNA", at positions 524 to 776 of the family's 1533-position model. The record is from RNAcentral.
UACGUAGGGGGCAAGCGUUGUCCUGAAUCAUUGGGCGUAAAGAGCGUGUAGGCGGCCUGAUAAGUCGGCUGUGAAAGUCAAGGGCUCAACCCUUGAAUGCCGGCCGAUACUGUCAGGCUAGAAUCCGGAAUAGGCGAGUGGAAUUCCUGGUGUAGCGGUGAAAUGCGCAGAUAUCAGGAGGAACACCUAUGGCGAAGGCAGCUCGCUGGGACGGUAUUGACGCUGAGACGCGAAAGCGUGGGGAGCGAACAGG